RNAcentral lists this ribosomal RNA (459 nucleotides) under uncultured bacterium. RNAcentral's name for it is "partial 16S ribosomal RNA". It matches the Rfam family "Bacterial small subunit ribosomal RNA", at positions 338 to 795 of the family's 1533-position model. The record is from RNAcentral.
CCUACGGGUGGCUGCAGUGAGGAAUAUUGGUCAAUGGCCGGAAGGCUGAACCAGCCAUGCCGCGUGAAGGUCAGUGCCCUAUGGGCGUUAAACUUCUUUUGUGCGGGAGCAAUAAUGGUCACGUGUGCCCGGAGGGAGAGUACCCGCAGAAUAAGCAUCGGCUAACUCCGUGCCAGCAGCCGCGGUAAUACGGAGGAUGCGAGCGUUAUCCGGAUUUAUUGGGUUUAAAGGGUGCGUAGGCGGAGUUUUAAGUCAGCGGUAAAAUGUCCGGGCUCAACCCGGGCCGGCCGUUGAAACUGGGGAUCUUGAGUGGGCGAGAAGUAUGCGGAAGGCGUGGUGUAGCGGUGAAAUGCAUAGAUAUCACGCAGAACUCCGAUUGCGAAGGCAGCAUACCGGCGCCCGACUGACGCUGAGGCACGAAAGCGUGGGGAUCGAACAGGAUUAGAUACCCGAGUAGUC